Molecule: long non-coding RNA, 2489 nt
Organism: Oncorhynchus keta (chum salmon)
Lineage: Eukaryota; Metazoa; Chordata; Actinopteri; Salmoniformes; Salmonidae
Exons: 5
Source: RefSeq, a predicted model, not a curated record
UUUGUGUGGUGAUAUGUCACAGGUCCUUGAGGGAGAUGGAGGGAUAAAUAACUUUGUGUGGUGAUAUGUUACAGGUCCUUGAGGGAGAUGGAGGGAUAAAUAACUUUGUGUGGUGAUAUGUUACAGGUCCUUGAGGGAGAUGGAGGGAUAAAUAACUUUGUGUGGUGAUAUGUUACAGGUCCUUGAGGGAGAUGGAGGGAUAAAUAACUUUGUGUGGUGAUAUGUUACAGGUCCUUGAGGGAGAUGGAGGGAUAAAUAACUUUGUGUGGUGAUAUGUUACAGGUCCUUGAGGGAGAUGGAGGGAUAAAUAACUUUGUGUGGUGAUAUGUUACAGGUCCUUGAGGGAGAUGGAGGGAUAAAUAACUUUGUGUGGUGAUAUGUUACAGGUCCUUGAGGGAGAUGGAGGGAUAAAUAACUUUGUGUGGUGAUAUGUUACAGGUCCUUGAGGGAGAUGGAGGGAUAAAUAACUUUGUGUGGUGAUAUGUUACAGGUCCUUGAGGGAGAUGGAGGGAUAAAUAACUUUGUGUGGUGAUAUGUUACAGGUCCUUGAAGGAGAUGGGGGGGAUACAUAACUUUGUGUGGUGAUAUGUUACAGGUCCUUGAGGGAGAUGGAGGGAUAAAUAACUUUGUGUGGUGAUAUGUUACAGGUCCUUGAAGGAGAUGGGGGGGAUACAUAACUUUGUGUGGUGAUAUGUUACAGGUCCUUGAGGGAGAUGGAGGGAUAAAUAACUUUGUGUGGUGAUAUGUUACAGGUCCUUGAGGGAGAUGGAGGGAUAAAUAACUUUGUGUGGUGAUAUGUUACAGGUCCUUGAUGGAGGGAUAAAUAACUUUGUGUGGUGAUAUGUUACAGGUCCUUGAGGGAGAUGGAGGGAUACAUAACUUUGUGUGGUGAUAUGUUACAGGUCCUUGAGGGAGAUGGAGGGAUAAAUAACUUUGUGUGGUGAUAUGUUACAGGUCCUUGAGGGAGAUGGAGGGAUAAAUAACUUUGUGUGGUGAUAUGUUACAGGUCCUUGAAGGAGAUGGAGGGAUAAAUAACUUUGUGUGGUGAUAUGUUACAGGUCCUUGAGGGAGAUGGAGGGAUAAAUAACUUUGUGUGGUGAUAUGUUACAGGUCCUUGAGGGAGAUGGAGGGAUAAAUAACUUUGUGUGGUGAUAUGUUACAGGUCCUUGAGGGAGAUGGAGGGAUAAAUAACUUUGUGUGGUGAUAUGUUACAGGUCCUUGAGGGAGAUGGAGGGAUAAAUAACUUUGUGUGGUGAUAUGUUACAGGUCCUUGAGGGAGAUGGAGGGAUACAUAACUUUGUGUGGUGAUAUGUUACAGGUCCUUGAGGGAGAUGGAGGGAUAAAUAACUUUGUGUGGUGAUAUGUUACAGGUCCUUGAGGGAGAUGGAGGGAUAAAUAACUUUGUGUGGUGAUAUGUUACAGGUCCUUGAUGGAGGGAUAAAUAACUUUGUGUGGUGAUAUGUUACAGGUCCUUGAGGGAGAUGGAGGGAUAAAUAACUUUGUGUGGUGAUAUGUUACAGGUCCUUGAGGGAGAUGGAGGGAUAAAUAACUUUGUGUGGUGAUAUGUUACAGGUCCUUGAUGGAGGGAUAAAUAACUUUGUGUGGUGAUAUGUUACAGGUCCUUGAGGGAGAUGGAGGGAUAAAUAACUUUGUGUGGUGAUAUGUUACAGGUCCUUGAGGGAGAUGGAGGGCUAAAUAACUUUGUGUGGUGAUAUGUUACAGGUCCUUGAUGGAGGGAUAAAUAACUUUGUGUGGUGAUAUGUUACAGGUCCUUGAGGGAGAUGGAGGGAUAAAUAACUUUGUGUGGUGAUAUGUUACAGGUCCUUGAUGGAGGGAUAAAUAACUUUGUGUGGUGAUAUGUUACAGGUCCUUGAGGGAGAUGGAGGGAUAAAUAACUUUGUGUGGUGAUAUGUUACAGGUCCUUGAGGGAGAUGGAGGGAUAAAUAACUUUGUGUGGUGAUAUGUUACAGGUCCUUGAGGGAGAUGGAGGGAUAAAUAACUUUGUGUGGUGAUAUGUUACAGGUCCUUGAGGGAGAUGGAGGGAUAAAUAACUUUGUGUGGUGAUAUGUUACAGGUCCUUGAGGGAGAUGGAGGGAUAAAUAACUUUGUGUGGUGAUAUGUUACAGGUCCUUGAGGGAGAUGGAGGGAUAAAUAACUUUGUGUGGUGAUAUGUUACAGGUCAUUGAGGGAGAUGGAGGGAUAAAUAACUUUGUGUGGUGAUAUGUUACAGGUCCUUGAGGGAGAUGGAGGGAUAAAUAACUUUGUGUGGUGAUAUGUUACAGGUCCUUGAGGGAGAUGGAGGGAUAAAUAACUUUGUGUGGUGAUAUGUUACAGGUCCUUGAGGGAGAUGGGAUGAAUAACUUUGUGUGGUGAUAUGUUACAGGUCCUUGAGGGAGAUGGGAUGAAUAACUUUGUGUGGUGAUAUGUUACAGGUCCUUGAGGGAGAUGGAGGGAUAAAUAACUUUGUGUGGUGAUAUGUUACAGGUCCU